RNAcentral lists this transfer RNA (74 nucleotides) under Neoscopelus macrolepidotus. RNAcentral describes it as "tRNA-Asn". Lineage: Eukaryota; Metazoa; Chordata; Actinopteri; Myctophiformes; Neoscopelidae. The record is from RNAcentral.
UAGGCGGAUGCUCGCUGGUUUGGGCGCUUAGCUGUUAAUUAAGAGGAUUGUAGGAUCGAGGUUUUCCCGUCUAG